AUGGCUUUAGUACGUGAUCUUUGGUUGCCAAGUAGUUUGGGCACGAUGACAGGGCCAAUUUGGCCAUCUAUUGAGGCCGAAAAUUUUGAGUUGAGGCCUGGACUUAUUGCUCUCGUCUUGCAGAAUCAGUUUAGAGGAUUACCCAAUGAAGACCCUCAUGAGCACAUUUGUAAUGUCCUGGAGUAUGCCAAUACUAUCCAGUACCAUGGCGUUUCCCAAGAUGUUAUCAAGUGUAUGUUGUUCACAUUCUCUCUCAGAGAUGCUGCUAAGGACUGGUACUAUUCUUUGCCAUCAAGAUCAUACACUUGGGGUGAUAUUUCGCAAGCUUUCCUGCACAGAUAUUUUCCACUUUACAAGCAAGCUGUAAUUCGUGACCAGAUCCUCAGUUUUGCGCAAGAUGGAAGUGAGAGCUUGUAUGCAGCUUGGGAGAGAUAUAAGUAUUUGCUUAGAAAAUGUCCUAAUCAUGGGCAAAAGGAUUGGUUAGUGCUCCAGAUAUUCUAUAGAGGGCUGACACAUGCUUCGAGAGAUCUUAUUGAUAUGUCUGCUGGUGGAACAAUCAUGAACAAGACCGUUGAGGGUGCAAUUAUUCUCAUUGAGAGCAUUGCCUUCCACCAAAUGCAAGGGGGUUAUGAAAGGCCUAGUUCAAAUCCGAAGGUUGCAAGCCAUCUGCAAUCAGAAGCUGUGUGUUCCGUAAGUGAACAGAAAUCAUCCAUGGUGCCUAAUAUUCAAAACCAGCAUGUUCCAUUCCGGGGACAACAACAUUUCAGAGCUGAAUUAGAUCCUCCAUGUAGAAAGAUUGAUCUUACUUCAAGUAUCCUUGAUGAUGAUUAUGAUAUUUUUCAAGAUGAUGCAACCAUUGUAGAUCAGAUGGAAACCACAGUAGCAGAUCCAAUACCUCAUGGCAAUGAAACUGUCCAGACUGAGUCAAAGUUGCAAGAAGAUGUUUAUGAGGAACCUACUCUGAUUGAUGCUAAGUUGAGAUAA
RNAcentral lists this ribosomal RNA (984 nucleotides) under Triticum aestivum (bread wheat). RNAcentral's name for it is "partial small subunit ribosomal RNA". The record is from RNAcentral. Lineage: Eukaryota; Viridiplantae; Streptophyta; Magnoliopsida; Poales; Poaceae.